This is a long non-coding RNA of Erpetoichthys calabaricus (reedfish), 304 nucleotides long. RefSeq lists it as uncharacterized. NCBI's taxonomy places the organism in Eukaryota, Metazoa, Chordata, Cladistia, Polypteriformes, Polypteridae. The record is from RefSeq and is a predicted model, not a curated record. The transcript is spliced from 2 exons.
GAGAGGCUGGCACGUGAGUGAGGAUGGCCCACCCGGCUCCCCACUCUUGAUGUCACGCUUCCCCCUCCCCUCGGCCUGCAGCCUCUGUCUCAGAUUAGUGCGAAUUUGUCACUCCUGCAAGUGAACUGUGAUACUUAGGAUGAUGAGAGAAGUCGCAAAAUGAACCGGAAUGUUCACACAAAUUAUAGAAGAAAACCCGAUCUAAAUUUGUUAAGUAGUUCUUUCAUGAAAAGCGGACAGAUAGACAGACGUUGGAUUUUAUAUUUACAGAGACUGGUCCCCGCAGCUCCGCCCGUGUAGUAGU